CGGUUAUCCCGUACGUGGCUUAGUUGCUGUCAGCCAAGUUAUAGUACAGAACAUGAGCGAUGAGACAUAUACACUCUCAAAAAUAAGAGCACCAUUCCACGAGCGAGAACUGGCUAUAACUGUCGGUCGUGCCGUAAGUGGGCAAACCUGAGACAAACUAGGAGACGGACUUGGAAACUAGGCUGCAGAAGAGUGCAGGCUCAUAAGUGUCUUAAGUGGAUCUCUGCUAUAGAGACGUUUGGUGUUUUUAUGGGUCAAAAUCAUGGAGGUGAUAUGCUCUCAGCCCGUGUGUAGACCGAAGAAGGUCACCAUUCCUGUGGAGGGGCACCUUCCUCCAGCCUCCUGACGUUCAUCGGAAGAACGCUACAGUGGCAGGCUUGGGCCAAAAAGGUCCGGUCGGGUCCAUCAGGAGGUUCCGUAUCCAGCUUUACACAGCCUGAGGACUCCCACAUGAGGUGUUCCAGAUCCAGUUGCACAAAGAAGUAGUCAGUGGGACCAAGGUCAUUGAGAGGUGCUCUGGUUAAGCAAUCCAAGGGUUAUGUUG
Molecule: long non-coding RNA, 544 nt
Organism: Clupea harengus (Atlantic herring)
Lineage: Eukaryota; Metazoa; Chordata; Actinopteri; Clupeiformes; Clupeidae
Source: Ensembl